RNAcentral lists this ribosomal RNA (253 nucleotides) under uncultured bacterium. Its description in RNAcentral is "partial 16S ribosomal RNA". It matches the Rfam family "Bacterial small subunit ribosomal RNA", at positions 524 to 776 of the family's 1533-position model. The record is from RNAcentral.
UACGUAGGUGGCAAGCGUUGUCCGGAUUUACUGGGCGUAAAGAGCGCGCAGGCGGUCUUGCAAGUCGGGUGUGAAAGCCCCCGGCUCAACUGGGGAGGGUCACGCGAUACUGCUCGACUUGAAGGCAGGAGAGGGAAGUGGAAUUCCCGGUGUAGUGGUGAAAUGCGUAGAUAUCGGGAGGAACACCGGUGGCGAAGGCGGGUCUCUGGGCCGAUACUGACGCUGAGGAGCGAAAGCGUGGGGAGCGAACAGG